CUAUUUUCUAUGCUCUGAGUUUGUAGAGCAUGCUUAGGAACAUCAGUGAGGGAAGUUACAUCAGCUGGAGUCACUGACUAACCUGUGAGAAAAACAAGCACAAAAGAUUAAUGGUGCAGUCAGUGAUGAUAUAGAGGAUGGGAAUUCAUCCAGUGCUGUAACCAUCCACAUCAGAAGAGGAAAAGGAAAAAAAAAAAGAUUGUUUUACUGGAUAUUGCAUUAAUUCCUGCUUGAAAUGAAUUUCAUUCUGGACUGAAAUUAGUGUUUUCUAAGUGUUCAGAUUUACUUCUGAGUAGACAUUUUUUAUCCUGGACAUAGUAAAAAAAAAAAAAAAAAAAAAAAAAAGAGAGAAAAUGCUAGGAUUUUCUUUUAAAAAUACAAGUAUUUCUUCUUUCAACUGGUAUUGUAUGUUUCCAUUGUCGGCUAAUUUCUGCUUUAUUUACUGUCAAUUCAGUGCUCAUCUCUCUGGGGUGAUUUCCUCAAUAAAAUGAGAAGGAUUUAGUAUGAUGCACAGAAAACUUCUAGUCAUUUUCCCAUGGCUGGGUGAUUCUGUCACAUUCCCUUCACUACGAGGACUCCUACCUGCUCUUGUGAAACCACCUCCUGCAGCCGAGGUUGCUGCUGUGCUGGUGUGAGCUGGCUGGCUGCUGCCAUUUCUCUGACAGCUCCAUAACCUUCAGGGCAUGGCUGGAGCUGAGCGCCUGGUGCUCUCAAGGAGACAGUUUGCUUGUGACAGAAAUAUAAACUGCUUUUGAUAUAUAGCACCAAGCUUCGCUCCUCUAUCUUUGUGUUGGGAAACUUGCACCUCUUUAGGCUGACACUGCAGUCAGGAGUCAUCCCAGCAGGUUUAGGUUAGGCUCACCAGGUUAUUGUCUGCUAUUUUGUACUUUCUUCCUUGUCUGCUGUGCUCCCCACAACUGCACGACUGCGUUAGUACGCUGUCUCCGUAGCCUUCAUCUUCUGUUUCACAUUAACUCACUCUGGAUGUACGUGACAGAACAUUUGCUUUUCCCUGGCAGCAGCUGAAAUUUUCCUUGAUGAGCCUGAGAUCAAACGUCUGUAUUUGCUCAGAAUGUGUAAUCUUUCAUUUUCCAAAAGUGAGUUACUAAUUAACUGUCAAACGGGAACAAAAUGUAAACCAAGACACUGCUGUCUCCCAGACCUUUCAGUGCUCUCAUCUGGGGCUCCUUGAGCAGCAUCCUAAUGUGAAUGCCACUCACUGAAGAUGCAGAACAAGAAUGUUCAGUGCUCUGUGUAGCAGGAUAUUCAGCCCAUUUGCAGUAUCAAGAAAUCUAAAAGCUUUUUCCUUGGCAGGAACAACCAGCAGGAAGACAACAGGGGUAGGUUCUUCUACUCAGUAGUUAAAAAUGAAUAGACAGAGUCCCACUAGGCAAAAGUUGGUGACAGAGAUGAAGUGAAAGUAGACUUCUCUAGAAGCUUGUCUUGCAGUUGGGAUUGACAAGGUCUCAUCUUUCAUCUUGGCCUCUAAUGAGCAGCAUUUUCUGUCUAAUAGCUAUAUUUGUUUCAGUUUCUAUGUCUGGUAAAGUUUUCCAAGCCUUUUGAAUUAAAGCUAACGCUCAGUCAAAAUGCAGUUGCCUAUUUUAAAGGCACUUCCAUUUUAGACUGGUACUAGGAAAAUAUACACACUACUUUAUUGCCUACACUGUAUUUUCCGAGUUAUUUUUCACACUCUAAUCAAAGUAAUGCCAUAUCUGUUUGCUGAUAUGUUUUUAAUCACUUGUCGUUCAAAUAAAUUGCUUACCACACUAAUUAUAUAAUUGGCUUUUCAUCAUGCAUUUCCUUAAUACUUCUACAAGACAAAAUAAUGGUUUGCACAUGUUGCAUCUGAAGAAUUGUGCUUUUGCCAAAAUUGUGUUUGCCACCUAGCUUUCUCACUCCACUGUUAAAAUAACAUGACAUGGCUGGCAUUAUGCAUUCAAGUGCUACAGAGUUUCUGAACUUUUUGUCUGAGUAGUCAUCAUACAACUGGACCUACACAGUGCAACCAGGAACUGAAUGUGACAUCCUAUACCCCUUCAUUUCAAAGAGGCCAGGAUGUCAUAAUUAAUCUUCUGACAAUAGAGAAAUGGAGGAGGUUGGGUUUUAUAAAUAAUUGUGGGGGAAUUGUCAUGCUUAUAUACUGCGAAAGACAUCAGGACAGCAAAACAGACCUCUCCCUUCUGUCACUGGUUUCAUUUGGUCCCAGUGGUACAGUAAGGGACUGUCUGCUCAGAGUUUUAAAAACUUUUCCUUUUUCUGUUUAAGAUAGGCCUACAUUCUGUAACCAGCCUGGUGGUGGGCUAGUGUAACUUCUGUAAACUUAGACUCUUUUCCAGCACCACCUUCCCACAGCCAACUCUUGUUAUCUGUGUCUACAGAGCUUAAGCACUCAUCUGUAUGUAGUUUGGCCCAUGUCUGUAGUGCUAAAGCACUUUUCUCAGUCUUUUAGACAAACUUGUUUAUAUUUUGGGCAGGGAUAGGAUUACUGGGAGAACAAAGGAAUAGUCAAGUACUGGGAAGAGCGUGAAAGUAGUCAUGCAUACAUGCUUUGUGCAGAUUGUGGCAAGCUCCUGUCCUAUCUGAAGUUCAGUUCUGAAGUUACUCUCCUAGCUAUGCAACUCGGGGUGUGAACUGGUGCAUGAAAGAUCCGGAUCUCUGCAGAGCACGUGGAAGUUUGGGAAUUUUGUUUAGAAGCACCAAGAUUAAAUUCAAUUCCUACAAAGUUGUGCAACAGCAUCUUGCUUACUUCCUUGAACAGUUUUUUGUAUUCUUCAACAAAAAUGCCUCAAAGAGAAAGAGCUGAAGAUUUUCCCAUCUUGAUUACUAAUGAUUUACCUGAGAAAAUGAUUUAACUUUUUUCUACUGUUGCAGUCACUGCCCUGAUUAUAGAGAGAAGUUGUCAGACAGAUCCAGGGAAAAAGGUGUUUCCAUUCUUUAGUAGAGUCCCACUAACAUAACAGUUUUCUCUUGACUCCCAAAUUCAUUUCGUGCACAGUUUUUAUAAUGCAGAGUCACACAGUGAGAACAUUCACCUGUUUGAGACGGGAAGAAAGGAGUCACCGUCUGGCCUUCUCUCUGAAGCGUCAAAUGUGUGGCAUACUCAUUUAAUGCAGGAGCUCCUGCAUCCCCAGAAGCUUCUCAUGUACUCAUUUUCUCCAUCUUGUAGCAUUACAGACUGCCUGAAUUCCAAUAUUGAUAUGUCUCAUUCCAGCGAGAUCCUUCACAUAUGCUAAGUGUAAGAGUGCUUCCAAGUAAUUUACUCUCUCAAGGAUCCAGUGCUAGAGAUAAUAAACACUAAAAUGGAGAUAUCGAGCAAAACCAAAACAGUGAACUCUUAAGUUAAACUUUACAUUUCAUACGUAUUUCUUUAUAUCCACUCUUUCUCUUUCCCAUCAUUAAAGAGACUGGGAGACCUAGUUUUUCACAGAUCCUUACGGCUGUACAAAUAAUUGAUUUUACAGUCCAAAAUCUCCUGUCUCAUCCUUCAUCCCCUCAAAAAAUAGUUCAAAUUGGUCCAAAAUAAAGAAGAAAAUUAUCCCCGCCAAGAACAAUAACUCAUUUUGUACAUGGGCUUUUGUAGUGAAACUAGAAAAUUGGCUGAGAUUUACAAAAAUUGUGGGAAGGAUGAUGAAUUAUUUUGCCUACUGGCUCUGAUGUUCAUGCACUCACGCAAGAUGCAGAUGAUGUAAAUCUUACUCUAUCCAUGUUGCCACCUCAUGCUAAAUGUCAGGAGAGUUAGGUAGUCACAGGCAUGUGAAGCAGUAACCUUGGCAUGGCCAUCUCUUCUUUCACUGUUUAAACAGAGUGCUCAGCAGGGCUGCGUGAACUGAAGAAAAUGAAUCUCAUUUCAUAUACCCUACAAGAGAGCAGCUAUUCUGUAAACUGAGAAGGAUUCAGAUCCUGUAAAUCAAAGUCCUUCCCUGUUGGCUAUUGGGUGAAUCAGGUUGUCCAAUUAGGCUGUGGAUGCCCCAUCCCUGGAGGCAUUGAAGGCCAGGCUGGAUGUGGUUCUGGGCAGCCUGGUCUAGUGUUUGGAGAUCCUGCAUGUAGCAGGGGGAUUGAAGCUAGAUGAUCAUUAUGGGCCUUUUCAACCCAGGCCAUUCUAUGAUUCUGUGAUUCUAUGAUCUUGCACUUUUGUUUUAGCCAGAAAUGGCCAAAGCUAAGAAAGCAUAACAGAUAACAUCCCAAGACUGGGAGCAGAUUUGGUCAAGGCAACACUGCUUUCUCCAGUGUAUGUAUUUUUAGGACAGAACGUGCUUGCCCCCAGGCAAGGCCCGGAGAGCAGCGCACAUCCAGCUGGUGGCGGCAUUGCCAAACCUCCGUGCCACUGCUAGAAAUGGGUGGUAGUUCCCACAUGGGUCACUUGGCUGCUGGAUUGGCUGCAAAGACAAUUUCAGGUAGUAAGACACAUUCAGCUGGUCUCUGCACCUCCCAGCAGCACCCAGGAAGCCUCCCUUCUGUAAUUCCUCUGAGCAUAACCUGCAGACAAAUUGAAAGCUUCCUUUCCUCAACAGUGUAAAAAAGCGUCGCGUUUGUGUCAGGAAUUUUAAAACCGAGUUGCAUGGAUUUAUAGGGGACAUCUUGGCACAUAUUUAUUGCUAAAUCUGUUACAUUGUCAGCGUUGCUCUAAGACGGGUGCUGAAGGCAGGAUUGUGUAUGCUGCUGGCACUGGUGCUGCAAGCAGUCCCAGUCCCUGCACCUGUCACGCCUCAACUAUUCACAUGAAAAGCACACCUAUUACUGAUACACGUCUCCUCCCAGCAGCUUAAAGAUUCCAGCUGCUUUCUGAGAUCAUAAAAGGCCUGCUCAACCAUGACUUCAAAAUGCCAGGCUAUUCAGCAAGCCAGGCCUAUUUCAGACUACUCCCUAAGUAUUUCAUACUUCAGCGUUGUUGUAAAUAAUGGCAGUAAUUUUUUUCCAGCAGAGCAUGCUGUGUGAAAUUAUGAAUUGAGGAGAUUUCCAUGCUGUUGUAUUUGAUUCAGUACCCCAUUGUCACUGAUGUAAAGUGUUGCACUGAUACACUGUCAUUCAUUUUGUGGGACAGCAGGACCUGUAUGAGGCUUUUGCUCGUGCAUAGUGUGCCUUGGUUUAUCGGUGCAGGAUCUAGGGCUGGAUUUUGGAGUGUGCUGGAGAACAGGAUCAUUCUUUCAAAAUCAAAAUUAAACAGGGAUCAGUGUGUGAGAACUUUGUUUCAGUCCUCUUAUGCAUGUCCAUCCUUAUAAGGAAAAUAAUAGAGGAGGGGGAAAAAAAUACAAAGGAGCAUUUGGUAUAAUUUUCUAAUUUCUGCAUAAUAGUUAAGCAAGGAGACACAGGUUUUAGAGGGAGUUGAGGGAGAGAAAAGAAGGAAUCAAAUGUUGGCUUGACCCCAGAAUGUUUAAAGCCUGAUUUGCCCUUACAGAACAAAAAUACCAGCACAGAAGUCUAACAUGCUGGGAAAUAUUACACAACAGUGCAGACAUGUCAAACUACCUUGAGAAAACCUGCAAAAAGUUGAAAGGUUUUUGGCCCUCAUGUAAAUGAACUGGAUCUUGUGGCAUUAUUUUUGAACUCUUCUGAUACGUAACACUUGAAAUAUUUUUGAUCAAAUGGCUUUUCUCAAGCAAUUACACAUUCUUAAUUUAGAGGCCAGUUCAAAUGAUUGCUUGUUACCUUCAUUUAGCAAAGGUUCCACUGCUCUGGUUUUCUGAUCCUUUUAAAAAAGGCAAACAGGGAGAGUUUACACAAUAAAAAUUCUUUUUUUUUUUUUUUUUUAAUUCUCAAAUUAAUUAUUUUGAAAUAUCUCACAGAUUACAUCAGUUUCUUACUUGCAUUCAUGUUGCAAGAUGGCGACUAUUGUAUAUUGCUAGUGAUGCAUUAAAUUAGUUGUUUACAUUAUAAAAUCUAAACAUAUUAGAAUCUUUUGUGUUUGUCUUCAAAGAUUCCUAUUCUAAUAAAGCUUUCUGAAACAA
Tympanuchus pallidicinctus (lesser prairie-chicken) is the source of this 5945-nucleotide long non-coding RNA. RefSeq lists it as uncharacterized. The transcript is spliced from 2 exons. The record is from RefSeq and is a predicted model, not a curated record. NCBI's taxonomy places the organism in Eukaryota, Metazoa, Chordata, Aves, Galliformes, Phasianidae.